UUAUAAAUUUUAUUAAUAUAUUUUAACGUAUAUUAUUUAUAUUUAAUUAGAAUUUAGGAAUUUUGAGUAAUAAAUAUAUAAUUCACGUAUACUUAUUUAUUACAUUUUAAUAUUUUCAACGAUUUACGAAAUUGAAAAUGAUUUUAGAAUUUUAAGUUAAAACGAAUUCGAAUUACGAAAACACGAUCGAUUGAAUUUAGAAAACAAUCCUAAUCAUUUUGGAUUCAAACAACCUUAAAUCCUACUCCUAGCCCAAUUGGGAAAAGCCCAAACCAAAAACAAAAAUUAAACCCAAACCAAUACUCCCUCUCUCUUUUCAAAUUCACGUGGAAACAAGGCAAACCAAAACCCCUCCAUCCUCCUUCAACCUCACGCACAACACCAGCAACUCCUCUUCUCUCCCUUGUCAGCCGCCGCACCACGCUCACUGCCGGACCACCACCUGCACCGACGACCACCGUCGACCCUCGUGUCAUCGCCGCCACGUUGCCGCCCAGCCUGCGUCGCUGCGCCGCCGCGUUCCUGGCCCACACCGACCAAUCCACCUCCGGUCGCAGCCACCUCGCCUAGCCGCGCCACCCUGUCCGCCGGCCAGCACUCCCCUCUCCCUCUUGAAUUGGCGGAGAAUUCUCUUUAGGCGACUUUUGAAAGUGUUAAAGUGGCCUAUCAGUUUGUUUACACAAGUCUCUAAGGAUCAAUAAGCGUUGCCCAUCUACAGGUUUGAAGAUGAUGCAUCAUUGGGAUCGGGAUUAGAGAGUUUGUAGUUCUAUUCGUUUAAUUAAGUGAUUUAAUUUGUUAACUUGGAUUUGAAAUUUGUCGUACUAUCCGUAUUUCUUUAAUUCAGUUAAUUGGUUUGGACCUAAUAUGUAAUAGAUUAUUUAUGAACCUAAAAGUUAGUUUUAUGUUUUCCGCU
Molecule: long non-coding RNA, 913 nt
Organism: Spinacia oleracea (spinach)
Lineage: Eukaryota; Viridiplantae; Streptophyta; Magnoliopsida; Caryophyllales; Amaranthaceae
Exons: 5
Source: RefSeq, a predicted model, not a curated record